AAGUCGUAACAAGGUUUCCGUAGGUGAACCUGCGGAAGGAUCAUUAUUGAACGAAAUCGAGAGGCUGUAGCUGGCAUCCUUUUUUUUUUGGGUUGCAUUGUGCACGCCUUUCAAAACUCAUCUCAACCACCUGUGUGCACUUUUUUGUAGACCUGGGAAAUGGACCUCUAGUCGUUUUCUUGUGUCUAUGAUAAUAAUACACUCUUCAUGUUAUGGAAUGUCCUUGGGUUGGGGGCCUCCCCCCUUUAAAAUUGUAUUAUACAACUUUCAACAACGGAUCUCUUGGCUCUUGCAUCGAUGAAGAACGCAGCGAAAUGCGAUAAGUAAUGUGAAUUGCAGAAUUCAGUGAAUCAUCGAAUCUUUGAACGCACCUUGCGCUCCUUGGUAUUCCGAGGAGCAUGCCUGUUUGAGUGUCAUCAAAUUCUCAAAAACCCCUUCUUUUGUUACCAAGGGCUUUUUGGAUGGUGGGGAUUUGUGCUGGCUUUCCAAGUCAGCUUCCCUUGAAUGCAUUAGCGGAAAUUUGUGGACCGUCUUUUUGGUGUGAUAAAUAUAUUGUUUACGCCAUUAUCAGUUCCCAUAUACAUUUUUCGGCUUCAAAACCGUCCCUCCAGACAAACUUGAUUGACAUUUUUUGACCUCAAAUCAGGUAGGACUACCCGCUGAACUUAA
Molecule: ribosomal RNA, 669 nt
Filed under: uncultured fungus
Lineage: Eukaryota; Fungi
Description: eukaryotic LSU rRNA
Rfam family: 5.8S ribosomal RNA (bases 263-416)
Source: RNAcentral